Molecule: long non-coding RNA, 262 nt
Filed under: Salmo salar (Atlantic salmon)
Lineage: Eukaryota; Metazoa; Chordata; Actinopteri; Salmoniformes; Salmonidae
Description: lncRNA (ENSSSAG00000082286.1)
Source: RNAcentral
GUAAUAGUGGUAUAUGAAUGUUAGUUGGUGGUGUGUAAUAGUGGUAUAUAGAUGGAGGGUUAGUUGGUGGUAUGUAAUAGUGGUAUAUAGAUGGAGGGUUAGUUGGUGGUGUGUAAUAGUGGUAUAUGGAUGUUAGUUGGUGGUGUGUAAUAGUGGUAUAUAGAUGGAGGGUUAGUUGGUGGUAUGUAAUAGUUGUAUAUAUCUGUUAGAUGGUGGUGUGUAAUAGUGGUAUAUGGAUGUUAGUUGGUGGUAUGUAAUAGUG